GAUGAACGCUGGCGGCGUGCCUAAUACAUGCAAGUCGAGCGAAAAGACGAGGAGCUUGCUCCUCUAACGUUAGCGGCGGACGGAUGAGUGACAAGUGGAUAACCAACCUAUAAGACGGGGGUAACAACGGGAAAAAGGGGAUAAUACUGGAGAAUAUAUUGAACCGCAGGGUUCAAUAGUGAAAGACGGUUUUGCUGUCACUUAUAGAUGGAUCCGCGCCGCAUUAGCUAGUUGGUAAGGUAACGGCCUACCAAGGCAACGAUGCGUAGCCGACCUGAGAGGGUGAUCGGCCACACUGGAACUGAGACACGGUCCAGACUCCUACGGGAGGCAGCAGUAGGGAAUCUUCCGCAAUGGGCGAAAGCCUGACGGAGCCACGCCGCGUGAGUGAUGAAGGUCUUCGGAUUGUAAAACUCUUUUAUUAGGGAAGAACAAAUGUGUAAGUAACUCUGCACGUCUUGACGGUACCUAAUCAGAAAGCCCCGGCUAACUACGUG
This 497-nucleotide ribosomal RNA is filed under the name uncultured bacterium. Its description in RNAcentral is "partial 16S ribosomal RNA". It matches the Rfam family "Bacterial small subunit ribosomal RNA", at positions 28 to 507 of the family's 1533-position model. The record is from RNAcentral.